GCGGCCGUAGCUUAGCCUGGAAAAGCGCUGCCCUGUCACGGCAGAGAUCGAGGGUUCAAAUCCCUUCGGCCGCG
Molecule: transfer RNA, 74 nt
Filed under: bacterium
Lineage: Bacteria
Also listed under: 1 other name
Description: tRNA-Asp
Rfam family: tRNA
About the family: Transfer RNA (tRNA) molecules are approximately 80 nucleotides in length. Their secondary structure includes four short double-helical elements and three loops (D, anti-codon, and T loops).
Source: RNAcentral